Molecule: long non-coding RNA, 694 nt
Filed under: Marmota monax (woodchuck)
Lineage: Eukaryota; Metazoa; Chordata; Mammalia; Rodentia; Sciuridae
Source: RNAcentral
CCCUGCCCCACCCUGACCACUGAAGUCGCAUCGUGCCUGGAGGAGCACGGGGGAGGAUUUGCUCCUGCUGGACGGCCCUGGCCUCUGCACACUCCCUGUGACAGCCGUUGAAGAGAAGGGCCAGCAGCGGGAAGAGUCAGGGUGAGCUGCUCAGACUCGCAGGACGUUCCAGAGAGCUCCCUGAGUCCCGCCCGGCAGCGUGGCUUCUGGUUCCACUGCUCCGUGAGAACGGGAACGAGGGUGCUGUCUUUUCUCCGGCAGUGGAACCUCAGUACCAGCGUCCUGCCACACGUACACCUGUCUUCUUAAUUGUCACUGCUGGUGUCCCUGCUUCUGAGGACACACCCUGCCUGUGGCGAGGGCAGCCAGCCUCUCCAGGGGCAGUGGUGAGCCCACCGUGGCUUCGAGCAUGAUUUUACCCUCCAGAGAAUUCUUUUUAAAGCCUUAAGUCCAUCGAUCAAGGCACAAACUGGAAAAGGCUGUGGAGAAGCCCCUUCAGGUGAGAAUCAAGGACAGGGACUGUUCCGGCCUGCCAGGUAACCUCCCGCUCUCCCUGCCUGAAUGGCCACCACUGGAAGAUAAGAAGUGCCGUUCCGAGUAGGGCCUGCUGGCUACCCUCCCACGUGUCCUGCAGAGGGGAUCCUAAGGAUCUCGGCUCUGGCUCAUGCGGCAGGGCUGACCACCUACACUUGCA